This is a long non-coding RNA of Myotis brandtii (Brandt's bat), 477 nucleotides long. RefSeq lists it as uncharacterized. The record is from RefSeq and is a predicted model, not a curated record. The transcript is spliced from 3 exons. Lineage: Eukaryota; Metazoa; Chordata; Mammalia; Chiroptera; Vespertilionidae.
CGCAGUCUGGUGUGAACUCCGGAAGCAGGAAACCUCUCCUGGGAGAUUCUGAGAUAACACUGCCGACAGAGGAUGAGCUCAGUGUCCGAGCCUGUGACCCACACUGGGGUCAGUCCCGUCGCCCUGUGUCCAACGGCUCUUUACAAGUCCCAGGGCAAUUGGCGGUUGUAUAGCCUGGGCCACCUUCCCUCUGAAGAAGCCACCACCACCUGAGAAAACAGAUGACACUGACCCAUCCUCGGUGUCUCCAAGCCCUCCCGAGCACUGACUACAUCUGUACCUGCACAGUGAGGCCCCAGGAUCUGAGAUAAGCUGCGCUUUCUGAAUGCUCACACCCACAUCUGGAAGGUUUUUCUCUCCCACUGUUACUGGGCUGUCGAUAGACACUUCUUGCUUCUCUGAGGAAGACAGUUUCUAGGACUCUCCCCAUCUUCCUUUUCACUUGAUAUGGAACCUGCUCUGGGUGUAGAAGUCACG